Molecule: non-coding RNA, 1204 nt
Organism: Lupinus albus (white lupine)
Lineage: Eukaryota; Viridiplantae; Streptophyta; Magnoliopsida; Fabales; Fabaceae
Source: the annotation of a GenBank genome assembly
GGCGAUCGAUCUACAUCUUUCCUCAUAGCCCUGGGGCUGUGUCUCGAUCUCCUACGUGCGAAAUCUGAGGGACUAGUUCCUAUGGAGAUUCCCCUGGGUCUAAUUCCACGCCUUAUGACGAAAGGAGAGUCGGCGUGGCGUAAAGUGAAGAUUGAGGGAAAUAGAUAAAAAUUCCCUUCUGGGGUCUUCCGAAGGUGUAACCUAGGCAACGAAAGAAAAAGGGGCCCGAUACUUCAACUAGAGGAGCGACCAGUUGGUUCACCAAACCCCGACCCAGCGUCACACGUUCUCCAGGUCCGAAGGGAUCCAGUGCCCAACUACCGACUCCUUCCGGAAUUGCGUUAUCGUAGCCGAGCCAGGAAUGGCCGUUAGUGGACACCCACCACUUUUAACCGGUUAGAGAGGCCCUCUUUAAUACAUUAAUAAAAGAUGUUCACAGGGGCCAGAAAGACUCGGUCAUAGGAACUUAGACCGCCUACGCGCUGGUAAACUAAAACCACCUCGACCGGAUCAGAGUAAACAACAAUGUCGAAUCGCCCCUUGCCUUGAAAGAAUUCACAGGCGGCCACCUGCUUUCCCAAAAUAAAUAAGGGGAGAUCUGCUGCUUACUGCUCACGGAAACAUCCGACCUAUACUAUAGUAAAGUCGUCCGCGUAUCUUUCUGAUCUCUCUUCCUUCUAUUUAUAAGAUUUUUGGCUUUGACUUCUUCAAGGUGAAAAAAAGAAUAAUAAAGGAGCGUAGCAGCCAGAGUCGCUAGAGAAAGAAAUCCCCUCUUCCGCUUAAGGCACCGAAGUCCCACAGCUAAUAUCAAUAUAGGAGCAACUCUCUGAUCAGUUUUCACAAAUCCUGAAAGACUUGGGUAAGCGCCCUGUAGGGGAAGGAGAGGAUUUACAGGAUUCAGUUAGGCAGUUAAAGGGUUACCCUUAUAUAUUUCUUAUUUAUAAAAUAGGGUCAGUGCACGGAAGACUCCCCACUUCUGGGACACACGGCGCCCAACCUAAUAGGAUGAGUCACGCAACCCCUAGACCAACUGUCAGAUUUCCCCCUGAUGGUGAUCUCCUUCCAACCUUAGAUCCUAGAGCGGCACUUGAUGAUGGUGAUCAUUUUUAUGAGGACCAACCCAUAGAGUUCCAGUCGGACCCCAUACUAGGGUUCCAGAUAGACAGAACAGGCGUUCACCACAACCUCCUAGGUAUGUAUGGUC